RNAcentral lists this transfer RNA (69 nucleotides) under Trichosurus vulpecula (common brushtail). Its description in RNAcentral is "tRNA-Ile". It matches the Rfam family "tRNA". From Rfam's summary of the family: Transfer RNA (tRNA) molecules are approximately 80 nucleotides in length. Their secondary structure includes four short double-helical elements and three loops (D, anti-codon, and T loops). Further hydrogen bonds mediate the characteristic L-shaped molecular structure. tRNAs have two regions of fundamental functional importance: the anti-codon, which is responsible for specific mRNA codon recognition, and the 3' end, to which the tRNAs corresponding amino acid is attached (by aminoacyl-tRNA synthetases). tRNAs cope with the degeneracy of the genetic code in two manners: having more than one tRNA (with a specific anti-codon) for a particular amino acid; and 'wobble' base-pairing, i.e. permitting non-standard base-pairing at the 3rd anti-codon position. The record is from RNAcentral. Lineage: Eukaryota; Metazoa; Chordata; Mammalia; Diprotodontia; Phalangeridae. RNAcentral also lists the same sequence under 1 other name.
AGAAAUAUGUCUGACAAAAGAAUUAUCUUGAUAGGAUAAAUAAUAGGGGUGCAAAUCCCCUUAUUUCUA